CCGGAGCUAAUAGCAGAUGAUGCAGCGGCUUGACAUCAAGACAGUUGUUAAGGCUUCGGCGCCUGAAGAUGAGCCUGCGUCUGAUUAGCUAGUUGGCGGAGUAAUAGCCCACCAAGGCGACGAUCAGUAACUGGUCUGAGAGGAUGAUCAGUCACACUGGAACUGAGACACGGUCCAGACUCCUACGGGAGGCAGCAGUAAGGAAUAUUGCUCAAUGGGGGAAACCCUGAAGCAGCAACGCCGCGUGAGGGAUGAAGGGCUUUUGCUUGUAAACCUCUGUAGUGAGGGAAAAAAUUUCCACUCUGUGGAAUAUGAUGGUACCUCAAAAGUAAGCCCCGGCUAACUACGUG
Molecule: ribosomal RNA, 350 nt
Filed under: uncultured bacterium
Lineage: Bacteria
Description: bacterial SSU rRNA
Rfam family: Bacterial small subunit ribosomal RNA
Source: RNAcentral